RNAcentral lists this non-coding RNA (30 nucleotides) under Homo sapiens (human). The record is from RNAcentral. Lineage: Eukaryota; Metazoa; Chordata; Mammalia; Primates; Hominidae.
UGAAGGCAUCACGCCUUGUAUGACCCUUGC